RNAcentral lists this ribosomal RNA (461 nucleotides) under uncultured Anoxybacillus sp. RNAcentral's name for it is "bacterial SSU rRNA". It matches the Rfam family "Bacterial small subunit ribosomal RNA", at positions 920 to 1378 of the family's 1533-position model. Lineage: Bacteria; Bacillati; Bacillota; Bacilli; Caryophanales; Anoxybacillaceae. The record is from RNAcentral.
CCCCGCACAAGCAGCGGAGCGUGUGGUUUAAUUCGAUGCUACACGAAGAACCUUACCAGGGUUUGACAUGCAAGUGGUAGGAACCGAAAGGCGACCGACCUUCGGGAGCUUGCACAGGUGGUGCAUGGUUGUCGUCAGCUCGUGUCGUGAGAUGUUGGGUUAAGUCCCGCAACGAGCGCAACCCUCGACCUUAGUUGCCAGCAUUCAGUUGGGCACUCUAAGGUGACUGCCGGCUAAAAGUCGGAGGAAGGUGGGGAUGACGUCAAAUCAUCAUGCCCCUUAUGACCUGGGCUACACACGUGCUACAAUGGGCGGUACAAAGGGUCGCGAACCCGCGAGGGGGAGCCAAUCCCAAAAAGCCGCUCUCAGUUCGGAUUGCAGGCUGCAACUCGCCUGCAUGAAGCCGGAAUCGCUAGUAAUCGCGGAUCAGCAUGCCGCGGUCGAAUACGUUCCCGGGCCUU